AUCGCUUCUCGGCCUUUUGGCUAAGAUCAAGUGUAGUAUCUGUUCUUAUCAGUUUAAUAUCUGAUACGUCCUCUAUCUGAGGACAAUAUAUUAAAUGGAUUUUUGACUCUAGGAAAUGGAAUAGGAGCUUGCUCCGUCCACUCCACGCAUCGACCCAGUAUUGCAGUACUUCUGGGAACGGUGCAUUUCCC
RNAcentral lists this small nuclear RNA (191 nucleotides) under Sarcophilus harrisii (Tasmanian devil). RNAcentral describes it as "U2 spliceosomal RNA (ENSSHAG00000023598.1)". It matches the Rfam family "U2 spliceosomal RNA". From Rfam's summary of the family: U2 is a small nuclear RNA (snRNA) component of the spliceosome (involved in pre-mRNA splicing). Complementary binding between U2 snRNA (in an area lying towards the 5' end but 3' to hairpin I) and the branchpoint sequence (BPS) of the intron results the bulging out of an unpaired adenosine, on the BPS, which initiates a nucleophilic attack at the intronic 5' splice site, thus starting the first of two transesterification reactions that mediate splicing. The record is from Rfam by way of RNAcentral. Lineage: Eukaryota; Metazoa; Chordata; Mammalia; Dasyuromorphia; Dasyuridae.